RNAcentral lists this ribosomal RNA (253 nucleotides) under uncultured bacterium. Its description in RNAcentral is "partial 16S ribosomal RNA". It matches the Rfam family "Bacterial small subunit ribosomal RNA", at positions 524 to 776 of the family's 1533-position model. The record is from RNAcentral.
UACGGAGGAGGCAAGCGUUAUCCGGAAUUAUUGGGCGUAAAGCGUCCGUAGGUGGUUUAGUAAGUCUGCUGUUAAAGCGCGGGGCUUAACUCCGUAUCGGCAGUGGAAACUACUAGACUAGAGUGUGGUAGGGGUAGAGGGAAUUCCCAGUGUAGCGGUGAAAUGCGUAGAUAUUGGGAAGAACACCGGUGGCGAAGGCGGCCACCUGGACGGAGACUGACGCUGAGGCGCGAAAGCGUGGGGAGCAAACAGG